CCCGUACUGGACUUGUUGCUCAUAUUAUUUUGUUCUGAACUUCUGAAAUCAAGGGGACAAAUUUGUCCACGCAUGGUGCUAUCUGCCAUGAGAGAAUUGCUCCAGAAACAAAAAAAAGUUCCUACUGACAGCACGUUAACUUCACACAAGCACACAGGCAUACAAGUAACGAUGAACAUUAACAGACACAAUAAUUGCCAAGGUUCACUUCAGUUCUGACAUUAAAACGAGGCAAGUACUCAGCUAGAGUUAACCAAGGUUCAACAUCCUGACAUGAGGGGCAGCAAAACGAUAACCGGAAAACAUUUUAUGUCUACUGAUUUACCCAGACAACGAAAGCGGCGAUGACAGUCUUACGAGCUCUAGUUCUUGAUCUUCUUCUUGGGCCUCAGCUGGUUGCUGUGGCCACACUUCUUCUUGCGGCAGUUGAC
This 431-nucleotide long non-coding RNA is filed under the name Triticum aestivum (bread wheat). Its description in RNAcentral is "long non-coding RNA (TAES_LNC003982)". Lineage: Eukaryota; Viridiplantae; Streptophyta; Magnoliopsida; Poales; Poaceae. The record is from RNAcentral.